RNAcentral lists this ribosomal RNA (646 nucleotides) under uncultured organism. Its description in RNAcentral is "bacterial SSU rRNA". It matches the Rfam family "Bacterial small subunit ribosomal RNA", at positions 745 to 1393 of the family's 1533-position model. The record is from RNAcentral.
GCUGAGGCGCGAAAGCGUGGGGAGCGAACAGGAUUAGAUACCCUGGUAGUCCACGCUGUAAACGAUGGGUACUAGGUGUUGGUCCUUUUUAGGAUCAGCGCCGCAGCUAACGCAUUAAGUACCCCGCCUGGGGAAUACGACCGCAAGGUUGAAACUCAAAGGAAUUGACGGGGGCCCGCACAAGCGGUGGAGCAUGUGGUUUAAUUCGAUGCAACGCGAAGAACCUUACCUGGGCUUGAACCGUAGUCGAAAACCCCUGAAAAGGGGUCCUCCUUCGGGACGGCUAUAGAGGUGCUGCAUGGCUGUCGUCAGCUCGUGCCGUGAGGUGUUGGGUUAAGUCCCGCAACGAGCGCAACCCUUGCCCUUAGUUGCCAUCAGGUUAUGCUGGGAACUCUAAGGGGACUGCCCCGGAUAACGGGGAGGAAGGUGGGGAUGACGUCAAGUCCUCAUGGCCCUUACGUCCAGGGCUACACACGUGCUACAAUGGCCGGUACAAUGGGCAGCGAUACCGCAAGGUGGAGCAUAUCCUUAAACCGGUCUCAGUUCAGAUUGCAGUCUGCAACUCGACUGCAUGAAGUCGGAAUCGCUAGUNAUCGCGGAUCAGCAUGCCGCGGUGUAUACGUUCCCGGGGCCUUGUACACACCGC